This 253-nucleotide ribosomal RNA is filed under the name uncultured bacterium. RNAcentral describes it as "partial 16S ribosomal RNA". It matches the Rfam family "Bacterial small subunit ribosomal RNA", at positions 524 to 776 of the family's 1533-position model. The record is from RNAcentral.
CACGUAGGGGGCGAGCGUUGUCCGGAAUUACUGGGCGUAAAGCGUGCGCAGGCGGUUCGCCAAGUCAGGUGUGAAAUCCCCGGGCUUAACCUGGGAAUUGCGCUUGAAACUAGCGGGCUUGAGUGUGGCAGAGGGGGGUGGAAUUCCACGUGUAGCAGUGAAAUGCGUAGAGAUGUGGAGGAACACCGAUGGCGAAGGCAGCCCCCUGGGUCAACACUGACGCUCAUGCACGAAAGCGUGGGGAGCAAACAGG